This is a non-coding RNA of Lonchura striata (white-rumped munia), 1221 nucleotides long. The record is from RefSeq and is a predicted model, not a curated record. Lineage: Eukaryota; Metazoa; Chordata; Aves; Passeriformes; Estrildidae.
GUCACCAGUGGGUUCAUAGAUGGCAUUUUCAGAACAGAGUCUCAGCUGGGCACAACCAGAGCUCCCAUUUGGGCUGGCAUGGUGAUGGGAGUCCCAGGCGUGCUGGCUUUGUUCUCCUCGCAGAGGAAGAAUCCAGUUCUUCUCCUUCACACUGAACUAUGGUGAAGAGGAGGAGCUGAAUUCUGCCCCAGUCCAUGUUAUCCAUACUAGGUUUAUACUCAGUAAAGUUGUCAAGGGUGCUAACAUAGCCAUGCUGGCUGUGUCCAUCUGCAGUGCCUUUUCUGUGUUGGCCAUGGCUUACUUGGGAUGCCGGAGCCUUCCAUGCUGCUCCUGCUAUGACAGUGUAACUGGGAUGGAAUGGUUGCAGCCUAGUGAGGACCAAAAUCAGGCUGUGGAAAUGACUUGUGCAGUACAAAGCUAUGGGAGGAGAAUUUUUGACUUCACAGAUCAGUUUCCCACCCAGGAUGUAGAUGCAGAAGAAGACACAUCCAAACCUCCAUCAUAUAUCAGAAUGACUUGAAAAAGUGGCCGAACAUUUUGUUCAAAUGUGGCAAGAGAUAUGGAAUAAGUUCUUUAAAGAUGGUUAUGCACUUUUCCUUGGCCCUUUGAAAAACACACACAGAGCAAACUAGUGAAUACCCAGCACUGGGCAGAGAUCACAGUGCAGAGGGAAAGAUCUGCAGGUGAUUUUGAACUUUCAGACUCUGUAUAGUGAAAAUACCUCAUUACUUCUGGAAAGUGAGAGCAUUUUUUCCUCUGGCCUAAAUCAUAUCAUUUCUCUAGAAUUCAUCAUGCAAUUUGUGCAGCAGUGCUAGCCUUAGGCAUUUCAAUAUUAAAUACAAUUCCUUUUUCUUCAACUGCUAUCUCAAUUUUUCCCUCUUACUGCAUGAAUUAUUGGGAUGAUAAUGAAGGAUGCCCUUCAUCCUUGAGCUUCAGAGUGUUUUCCUUUUCUUCUUGAUAGGAGUGGGGGCAGGUAAAGUUUUUUAUAUGAAACCUUAAUAGCUCCAUUCAAACCAACCUCUGUCAAAAGGUGGCUUCUGUGGGGUGUACAUGUGUUAGUACAAUUAGUUUUAGUGCUGAAGUGUAACUAUAGAGUGUGGCAGGAACUGGAGUUGCAGUAGCUCCUCUUAUGAAGUAACUUGAAUACUCUAAAUUCAGUUCAAAUUUUUCUAUUUUGACUUUGUAGAUUGAAAAUUUAAAAUAAAUCCUUAUUUUAGGGCC